AGAGUUUGAUCAUGGCUCAGAAUCAACGCUGGCGGCGCGCUUAACACAUGCAAGUCGAACGAGAAAGCCGCAAGGUGAGUAAAGUGGCGCACGGGUGAGUAACACGUGGAUGAUCUACCUUUUAGUGGGGAAUACCGUUGGGAAACUGACGACAAUACCGCAUAAGCUCGAGAGAGGAAAGCCGAAAGGCGCUGAAAGAGGAGUCCGCGGCUGAUUAGCUAGUUGGUAGGGUAAAGGCCUACCAAGGCAUUGAUCGGUAGCCGGCCUGAGAGGGCACACGGCCACACUGGCACUGAAACACGGGCCAGACUCCUACGGGAGGCAGCAGUGGGGAAUCUUGCACAAUGGGGGCAACCCUGAUGCAGCGACGCCGCGUGAGUGAUGACGCCCUUCGGGGUGUAAAGCUCUUUCGACAGGGACGAUAAUGACGGUACCUGGAGAAGCAGCUGCGGCUAACUACGUGCCAGCAGCCGCGGUAAUACGUAGGCAGCAAGCGUUGUUCGGAGUUACUGGGCGUAAAGGGUGCGUAGGCGGCCGUGUAAGUGUGGUGUGAAAUCUCCCGGCUUAACUGGGAGGGUGCGCUACAGACUGCAUGGCUAGAGUGUGGGAGAGGAAAGUGGAAUUCCUGGUGUAGCGGUGAAAUGCGUAGAUAUCAGGAGGAACACCGGUGGUGUAAACGGCUUUCUGGACCAUAACUGACGCUGAUGCACGAAAGCGUGGGUAGCAAACAGGAUUAGAUACCCUGGUAGUCCACGCCCUAAACGAUGCACAUUUGGUGUGGGUCAUUCAGUUGAUCCGUGCCGGAGCUAACGCGUUAAAUAUGCCGCCUGGGGAGUACAGUCGCAAGGCUGAAACUCAAAGGAAUUGACGG
RNAcentral lists this ribosomal RNA (871 nucleotides) under uncultured bacterium. RNAcentral describes it as "bacterial SSU rRNA". It matches the Rfam family "Bacterial small subunit ribosomal RNA", at positions 8 to 916 of the family's 1533-position model. The record is from RNAcentral.